GGCUGCAGUAGCUCAAUUGGUAGAACAUCUGAUUCAUAAUCCAAGAGUCCUGAGUUCAAAAACCACCCAGGUCAGCCU
Potamilus streckersoni is the source of this 78-nucleotide non-coding RNA. The record is from the annotation of a GenBank genome assembly. NCBI's taxonomy places the organism in Eukaryota, Metazoa, Mollusca, Bivalvia, Unionida, Unionidae.